RNAcentral lists this ribosomal RNA (497 nucleotides) under uncultured bacterium. RNAcentral describes it as "partial 16S ribosomal RNA". It matches the Rfam family "Bacterial small subunit ribosomal RNA", at positions 28 to 507 of the family's 1533-position model. The record is from RNAcentral.
GACGAACGCUGGCGGCGUGCCUAAUACAUGCAAGUUGAGCGAUGAAGAUUUGUGCUUGCACCCAUUUGAAGAGCAGCGAACGGGUGAGUAACGCGUGGGGAAUCUGCCUUUGAGCGGGGGACAACAUUUGGAAACGAAUGCUAAUACCGCAUAACAACUUUAAACAUAAGUUUUAAGUUUGAAAGAUGCAAUUGCCUCACUCAAAGAUGAUCCCGCGUUGUAUUAGCUAGUUGGUGAGGUAAAGGCUCACCAAGGCGAUGAUACAUAGCCGACCUGAGAGGGUGAUCGGCCACAUUGGGACUGAGACAAGGCCCAAACUCCUACGGGAGGCAGCAGUAGGUGAGCUUCGGCAAUGGACGAAAGUCUGACCGAGCAACGCCGCGGGAGUGAAGAAGGUUGUCGGAUCGUAAAACUCUGUUGGUAGAGAAGAACGUUGGUGAGAGUGGAAAGCUCAUCAAGUGACGGUAACUACCCAGAAAGGGACGGCUAACUACGUG